RNAcentral lists this ribosomal RNA (394 nucleotides) under uncultured Pseudomonas sp. RNAcentral describes it as "bacterial SSU rRNA". It matches the Rfam family "Bacterial small subunit ribosomal RNA", at positions 137 to 526 of the family's 1533-position model. Lineage: Bacteria; Pseudomonadati; Pseudomonadota; Gammaproteobacteria; Pseudomonadales; Pseudomonadaceae. The record is from RNAcentral.
UGGGGGAUAACGUUCGGAAACGGACGCUAAUACCGCAUACGUCCUACGGGAGAAAGCAGGGGACCUUCGGGCCUUGCGCUAUCAGAUGAGCCUAGGUCGGAUUAGCUAGUUGGUGGGGUAAUGGCUCACCAAGGCGACGAUCCGUAACUGGUCUGAGAGGAUGAUCAGUCACACUGGAACUGAGACACGGUCCAGACUCCUACGGGAGGCAGCAGUGGGGAAUAUUGGACAAUGGGCGAAAGCCUGAUCCAGCCAUGCCGCGUGUGUGAAGAAGGUCUUCGGAUUGUAAAGCACUUUAAGUUGGGAGGAAGGGUUGUAGAUUAAUACUYUGCAAUUUUGACKUUACCGACAGAAUAAGCACCGGCUAACUCUGUGCCAGCAGCCGCGGUAAUAC